UGGGGUGUGGCUCAGUGGUAGAGCACUCACCUAGGAUGUGUGAGGCCCUGGGUUCAAUCCUCAGCACCACAU
Molecule: transfer RNA, 72 nt
Filed under: Marmota marmota marmota (Alpine marmot)
Lineage: Eukaryota; Metazoa; Chordata; Mammalia; Rodentia; Sciuridae
Also listed under: 1 other name
Rfam family: tRNA
About the family: Transfer RNA (tRNA) molecules are approximately 80 nucleotides in length. Their secondary structure includes four short double-helical elements and three loops (D, anti-codon, and T loops).
Source: Rfam by way of RNAcentral